CCUACGGAGGCAGCAGUAAGGAAUAUUGGUCAAUGGAGGCAACUCUGAACCAGCCAUGCCGCGUGCAGGAAGACUGCCCUAUGGGUUGUAAACUGCUUUUAUCCGGGAAUAAACCUGCUUACGUGUAAGUAGCUGAAUGUACCGGAAGAAUAAGGAUCGGCUAACUCCGUGCCAGCAGCCGCGGUAAUACGGAGGAUCCAAGCGUUAUCCGGAUUUAUUGGGUUUAAAGGGUGCGUAGGCGGCCUGUUAAGUCAGGGGUGAAAGACGGUAGCUCAACUAUCGCAGUGCCCUUGAUACUGAUGGGCUUGAAUGGACUAGAGGUAGGCGGAAUGAGACAAGUAGCGGUGAAAUGCAUAGAUAUGUCUCAGAACACCGAUUGCGAAGGCAGCUUACUAUGGUCUUAUUGACGCUGAGGCACGAAAGCGUGGGGAUCAAACAGGAUUAGAUACCCUGGUAGUCCACGCCCUAAACGAUGAACACUCGCUGUUGGCGAUACACAGUCAGCGCAGAGAAGAGUAGUGUCNCGNGGAGACGCCGCGAGAGAGACAANAGAGUAGAGNGNGAGAGNGCGAGGACGACGACGAGGGAGAGG
RNAcentral lists this ribosomal RNA (592 nucleotides) under uncultured bacterium. RNAcentral describes it as "bacterial SSU rRNA". The stretch from base 1 to 528 matches the Rfam family "Bacterial small subunit ribosomal RNA", at positions 338 to 873 of the family's 1533-position model. The record is from RNAcentral.